GUGCCAAUACAUGCAAGUUGAGCGCUGAAGGUUGGUACUUGUACCGACUGGAUGAGCAGCGAACGGGUGAGUAACGCGUGGGGAAUCUGCCUUUGAGCGGGGGACAACAUUUGGAAACGAAUGCUAAUACCGCAUAAAAACUUUAAACACAAGUUUUAAGUUUGAAAGAUGCAAUUGCAUCACUCAAAGAUGAUCCCNCG
This 200-nucleotide ribosomal RNA is filed under the name Lactococcus lactis subsp. lactis. Its description in RNAcentral is "partial 16S ribosomal RNA". It matches the Rfam family "Bacterial small subunit ribosomal RNA", at positions 50 to 235 of the family's 1533-position model. Lineage: Bacteria; Bacillati; Bacillota; Bacilli; Lactobacillales; Streptococcaceae. The record is from RNAcentral.